This 485-nucleotide ribosomal RNA is filed under the name uncultured bacterium. RNAcentral's name for it is "bacterial SSU rRNA". It matches the Rfam family "Bacterial small subunit ribosomal RNA", at positions 100 to 619 of the family's 1533-position model. The record is from RNAcentral.
GCACGGGUGAGUAACGCGUGGGGACCUACCUCUUAGUGGGGGAUAACGGUUGGAAACGACCGCUAAUACCGCAUACGCCCUUAGGGGGAAAGAUUUAUCGCUAAGAGAUGGACCCGCGUUGGAUUAGAUAGUUGGUGAGGUAACGGCUCACCAAGUCAGCGAUCCAUAGCUGGUUUGAGAGGAUGAUCAGCCACACUGGGACUGAGACACGGCCCAGACUCCUACGGGAGGCAGCAGUGGGGAAUAUUGGACAAUGGGGGCAACCCUGAUCCAGCCAUGCCGCGUGAGUGAAGAAGGCCUUCGGGUUGUAAAGCUCUUUCAGAUGCGAAGAUGAUGACGGUAACAUCAGAAGAAGCCCCGGCUAAUUUCGUGCCAGCAGCCGCGGUAAUACGAAAGGGGCUAGCGUUGUUCGGAUUUACUGGGCGUAAAGGGCACGCAGGCGGUCUUGCCAGUCAGGGGUGAAAGCCCCGGGGCUCAACCCCGGA